GAUGAACGCUGGCGGCGUGCCUAAUACAUGCAAGUCGAGCGAACAGACGAGGAGCUUGCUCCUCUGACGUUAGCGGCGGACGGGUGAGUAACACGUGGAUAACCUACCUAUAAGACUGGGAUAACUUCGGGAAACCGGAGCUAAUACCGGAUAAUAUAUUGAACCGCAUGGUUCAAUAGUGAAAGACGGUUUUGCUGUCACUUAUAGAUGGAUCCGCGCCGCAUUAGCUAGUUGGUAAGGUAACGGCUUACCAAGGCAACGAUGCGUAGCCGACCUGAGAGGGUGAUCGGCCACACUAGAACUGAAACACGGUCCAGACUCCUACGGGAGGCAGCAGUAGGGAAUCUUCCGCAAUGGGCGAAAGCUUGACGGAGCAACGCCGCGUGAGUGAUGAAGGUCUUCGGAUCGUAAGACUCUGUUAUUAGGGAAGAACAAAUGUGUAAGUAACUAUGCACGUCUUGACGGUACCUAAUCAGAAAGCCACGGCUAACUACGUG
This 497-nucleotide ribosomal RNA is filed under the name uncultured bacterium. RNAcentral's name for it is "partial 16S ribosomal RNA". It matches the Rfam family "Bacterial small subunit ribosomal RNA", at positions 28 to 507 of the family's 1533-position model. The record is from RNAcentral.